CUCGCGCGUGUCAACAUCUCCGCCGACGCGCCCCGCCGUGGCAGGGCAGUCCACGAGGCCGCCGACAGAGUCCUCGCCGCCGCCGCCCGCGGCAGGACGCGCUGGAGCCGCGCCAUCCUCACCAACCGCCUCAAGCUCAAGUUCAGGAAGACACCGCACAAGCGACACAAGGUGGUUGGCCCGCCCCGCCCCAAGAAGCCCCGCUUCAGCGUCCUCCGCCUCAAGGGAAAAACCCUUCCCGCGGUUCAGCGCAAAGUUAGAGUCCUCGGCCGGUUGGUUCCCGGUUGCAGGAAAGAACCGCUUCCGAUCAUUCUCGAAGAAGCCAUCGAUUACAUACCUGCGCUCGAGAUGCAGGUUCGCGCCAUGGCGGAUCUCGCUCAGUUACUCCUCGGCUCCUCCUCUUCCUCCUCCUCCUCCUCCUCCGCCGCCGCCGUAUCCUCCUCCGCGCCGCCGAGUUGAUCCACCUUCCGGCGACUGUGCCGCGUGUCAUAUAUUUUUCUCUCUUGAUUUUUGUUAUUAUUUGCCUCGUUUUCACCCUCACUCGUCUCGGCUUAUGUUAAUUGUCCAGUAC
Molecule: long non-coding RNA, 571 nt
Filed under: Phaseolus vulgaris (common bean)
Lineage: Eukaryota; Viridiplantae; Streptophyta; Magnoliopsida; Fabales; Fabaceae
Description: long non-coding RNA (PVUL_LNC002706)
Source: RNAcentral